Molecule: long non-coding RNA, 754 nt
Filed under: Spirodela polyrhiza (greater duckweed)
Lineage: Eukaryota; Viridiplantae; Streptophyta; Magnoliopsida; Alismatales; Araceae
Description: long non-coding RNA (SPOL_LNC001028)
Source: RNAcentral
CCAUUCAUAAUUUCCUCUGCCCUGCCUGCGCCGUGCCCACAGCCGAAGUUUUGUCGCCUCUCGGGGUUACCGCAGGGUCACUGCUUCUUCAGGUUGUUUUAUCCCCCAUAUUAUAUGCCGCCUCUCACUGUUUUCCUCCGCGGUAACCUCCUCUCUCUCAAGACGUCUUCGUCUCCGGCGAGCUCGUCCGCACCCCAGUGGUCGAAUACUCCUCUGCAACAGUAGACAAAUGACCCUUAGCGGAGGAAGAUUCCCCAACAUGGACGACCCCCCCCCUCUGCGCGGUCCUCUGAGGCUAGCGAGGGAGGGACGGAGAGGGAGGGAGGGAGGGAGGGAAGGAGGAAGGAGGUCAACCCAAAGAGCUUUACAGCGAUGGUGUCAGGACUCCCCGGAGGGCGCUGACAGCAGCCAUGCAGAGGAGCCUCAGAGGGGACCCUUUUUUCCUUACUGCUGCGUCCUUUUCAGAUAUAUUCGUUGCGGCAGACCCACGCUGAACGGACGGUGGGGAUGCGAAGACCCUCGUCAGACCUGAGGUCAGAACCGGGGUUUCACCCGCCCGAUCUGGUGAUCUCUAUUCACCCCGCUUUUUCAUCGAGGAGAUAGUGAGAGAAAGAGAGAGCCUGUGGGCUCGCCAAGGACAGACCCGGCAGGAGGACAAAUCUGCUACCAAACAGGCAACAAUGAUGCAUGCAGGAGCAAUCUGCUAACCCUAGCUGAGGGCCGGUCUCUCUCCUCUGUAAUCCUCUCUCUCUCU